GAGCGAAACAUCGCCCUUGUUAAAGCAGUAAAAAGGGUGAUGUCUAUCCAGCGUAGCGGCUGGGUACUGAUGAGCAGCUAAAU
This 83-nucleotide non-coding RNA is filed under the name Photobacterium sanguinicancri. Lineage: Bacteria; Pseudomonadati; Pseudomonadota; Gammaproteobacteria; Vibrionales; Vibrionaceae. The record is from RNAcentral.